CCCUUAGAUGUUCUGGGCCGCACGCGCGCUACACUGAUGCAUUCAACGAGCACCCGCUGGGCCGAGAGGUCCGGCUAAUCUUUGAACGUGCAUCGUGCUGGGGAUAGAUGAUUGCAAUUAUUCAUCUUCAACGAGGAAUUCCUAGUAAACGCAAGUCAUCAGCUUGCAUUGAUUACGUCCCUGCCCUUUGUACACACCGCCCGUCGCACCUACCGAUUGAAUGGUCCGGUGAAAUUCUCGGACGCGGACUUGCGAUGUUAAUUCGGAGCUUGACUGUGAAAGUUAAUUAAACCAUAUCAUUUAGAGGAAGGUGAAGUCGUAACA
This 324-nucleotide ribosomal RNA is filed under the name uncultured eukaryote. RNAcentral describes it as "partial 18S ribosomal RNA". It matches the Rfam family "Eukaryotic small subunit ribosomal RNA", at positions 1470 to 1796 of the family's 1831-position model. The record is from RNAcentral.